GCCUUGGCCCAAGCAGCUGUAAUUCACAAGCAAACUAAGAAACAGAAGAUGAAAAUUACUUCCACCAGGAGAGCUGGGCCAUGGAAGAAGAUGAUUCAUAGGUCACAGGAGGGAGAGCGCCCGGCCCAGAGGGUGACAUGCUGGAACAUGAGGACCAUCAGCUCUGAUCACUU
This is a long non-coding RNA of Neomonachus schauinslandi (Hawaiian monk seal), 173 nucleotides long. RefSeq lists it as uncharacterized. The record is from RefSeq and is a predicted model, not a curated record. Lineage: Eukaryota; Metazoa; Chordata; Mammalia; Carnivora; Phocidae. The transcript is spliced from 3 exons.